This 736-nucleotide long non-coding RNA is filed under the name Canis lupus familiaris (dog). Its description in RNAcentral is "lncRNA (ENSCAFG00000037766.3, ENSCAFG00805014531.1, ENSCAFG00845009392.1)". The record is from RNAcentral. Lineage: Eukaryota; Metazoa; Chordata; Mammalia; Carnivora; Canidae.
ACCCAUUCUAUGAGCUCAGAAAAAUGAUGUCAUCUCUUGUAUCCAUUUUAUUAUCUCCCAAUUUCUAUUCUCAUUCUUUCAUAUCCAGAGGUACAUGUCAUCUGAAGCCUUGGGCCCUCCGCAUCAUAAAUCAGGAACAAAUCCAGGAGGGAGAAAGAGCAAAGGAGACAAGGACCUCGUUAAGAACACUAAGUUUCUGUGGAGAAAAAAGUGUUGGCUUGAACUCCUCGUGCUUUCUUAUGUAAUAAAAAAGUCAAGCAAAGGGCAUGUCUUGGUUCGGCUGGGACUCGGCAGACUGCCUGCGUUAUUACAGUGCUGGGAGUCUGAGGCUCUCUGCUCCUUGAGGAUUAUCAUGUGACUCCUCCCCAAGUGGAGUUACUCUCUGGAACAAAAGUACUUUUCCCUUUUAUUUUUUUAAAGUGCUGUAAUUGCUAACAUCAUGGGUCUGCCUCAGGAUGGUGAUUAAAAACACUCAUCUGACUUGGUCGGAACAGAAUCUCCAAUAGCUACUUGAUUUGUUUAGCUACAGCUGAAAUAUUUUGAUAAGGAAAAAUGGGAAACAGCUCUACAAAUAAACAAAGGUAUGUUCACGAGGGAAUCAAAACUUUUCCUUCAUGAGAAAUAAACUAGCAAUGUCUCUUCUUUUGAGCAGAGAAAAGCUCGCAUAGAAUGUGGUUUAUUGCACUAUUGAUAAAUUGAUUUUAAAAUUAGGUCUUAUGGAUGAAACAUAUUGACC